UACAAAACAUGGUCUUUUGUUUAUAUAAAAGAUUUAACCUGCCCUAUGAUUAGUUUUAAAUGGCUGCAGUAUUUUGACUGUACAAAGGUAGCAUAAUCAUUUGUCUCUUAAUUGGAGGCUAGUAUGAAUGGUUGGAUGAAAAAUAUACUUUCUUUAUUUUAUAAUAAAAAAAUUAACUUUUUAGUUAAAAGGCUAAUAUGUUAUUGUAGGACGAGAAGACCCUAUAGAACUUUAUUUUCUAUAUAUAUAAAUUUUAUAGAUUUUAUUAGAUUUAUAUAUAUAUGUUAAUUGUGUUGGGGUGACAGAAAAAAUAAUAUAACUUUUUCUAUUUUUUUCAUUUAUAUAUGUUGUUUUUGAUCCUAUAUUGUAGAUAAUAAGAUUAAGUUACCUUAGGGAUAACAGCGUUAUUUUCUUUGAGAGUUCUUAUCGAUAAGAAAGUUUGCGACCUCGAUGUUGGAUUAAAAUAAGUGACGGGAGUAUAAUAUCGUUUACUAGGUCUGUUCGACCUUUAAAUUUUUACAUGAUCUAGUUUCCACCCGGGA
This 542-nucleotide ribosomal RNA is filed under the name Cyphodemidea saundersi. RNAcentral's name for it is "partial small subunit ribosomal RNA". It matches the Rfam family "Bacterial large subunit ribosomal RNA", at positions 1807 to 2624 of the family's 2925-position model. Lineage: Eukaryota; Metazoa; Arthropoda; Insecta; Hemiptera; Miridae. The record is from RNAcentral.